RNAcentral lists this ribosomal RNA (465 nucleotides) under uncultured bacterium. RNAcentral describes it as "partial 16S ribosomal RNA". It matches the Rfam family "Bacterial small subunit ribosomal RNA", at positions 28 to 507 of the family's 1533-position model. The record is from RNAcentral.
GACGAACGCUGGCGGCGUGCUUAACACAUGCAAGUCGAGCGAGGCCCCUCCUUCGGGAGGGUGUCCUAGCGGCGAACGGGUGAGUAACACGUGGGCAACCUGCCCUCAGCUCUGGGAUAACUCCGGGAAACCGGGGCUAAUACCGGAUACGACCUCCACGGGCAUCUGCGGAGGUGGAAAGUUUUUCGGCUGAGGAUGGGCCCGCGGCCUAUCAGCUAGUUGGUGGGGUAGUGGCCCACCAAGGCGACGACGGGUAGCCGGCCUGAGAGGGCGACCGGCCAAACUGGGACUGAGACACGGCCCAGCCUCCUACGGGAGGCAGCAGUGGGGAAUAUUGCGCAAUGGGCGAAAGCCUGACGCAGCGACGCCGCGUGAGGGACGAAGGCCUUCGGGUUGUAAACCUCUUUCAGCAGGGACGAAGCGAAAGUGACGGUACCUGCAGAAGAAGCACCGGCCAACUACGUG